UACGUAGGGUGCGAGCGUUGUCCGGAAUUAUUGGGCGUAAAGAGCUUGUAGGCGGUUUGUCGCGUCUGCCGUGAAAAUUCGAGGCUCAACCUCGAACUUGCGGUGGGUACGGGCAGACUAGAGUGUGGUAGGGGAGACUGGAAUUCCUGGUGUAGCGGUGAAAUGCGCAGAUAUCAGGAGGAACACCGAUGGCGAAGGCAGGUCUCUGGGCCACUACUGACGCUGAGGAGCGAAAGCGUGGGGAGCAAACAGG
This 253-nucleotide ribosomal RNA is filed under the name uncultured bacterium. RNAcentral describes it as "partial 16S ribosomal RNA". It matches the Rfam family "Bacterial small subunit ribosomal RNA", at positions 524 to 776 of the family's 1533-position model. The record is from RNAcentral.